UAGCUCACCUGGUAGAGCAUGAGAUUCUUAAUCUCAGGGUCGUGGGUUUGUGCCCCAC
Molecule: transfer RNA, 58 nt
Filed under: Macaca fascicularis (crab-eating macaque)
Lineage: Eukaryota; Metazoa; Chordata; Mammalia; Primates; Cercopithecidae
Also listed under: 5 other names
Rfam family: tRNA
About the family: Transfer RNA (tRNA) molecules are approximately 80 nucleotides in length. Their secondary structure includes four short double-helical elements and three loops (D, anti-codon, and T loops).
Source: Rfam by way of RNAcentral